Molecule: ribosomal RNA, 193 nt
Filed under: uncultured soil bacterium
Lineage: Bacteria
Description: partial 16S ribosomal RNA
Rfam family: Bacterial small subunit ribosomal RNA
Source: RNAcentral
AGAUUGAACGCUGGCGGCAUGCCUAACACAUGCAAGUCGAACGGGAGUAGCAAUACUCUAGUGGCGGGACGGGUGAGGAAUACGUAGGAAUUUGCCCUUAAGGUGGGGGAGUAACCCGGGGAAACCCGGAUUAAUACCGCAUGACCUCGAAAGAGCAAAGGUGGGGGAUCGCAAGACCUCACGUCUUUUGGAG